RNAcentral lists this ribosomal RNA (430 nucleotides) under uncultured bacterium. RNAcentral's name for it is "bacterial SSU rRNA". It matches the Rfam family "Bacterial small subunit ribosomal RNA", at positions 917 to 1344 of the family's 1533-position model. The record is from RNAcentral.
GGACCCGCACAAGUAGUGGAGCAUGUGGUUUAAUUCGAAGAUACGCGCAGAACCUUACCAACACUUGACAUGUUCGUCGCGACUCUAAGAGAUUAGAGUUUUCGGUUCGGCCGGACGAAACACAGGUGCUGCAUGGCUGUCGUCAGCUCGUGUCGUGAGAUGUUGGGUUAAGUCCCGCAACGAGCGCAACCCACGUCUUUAGUUGCCAGCAUUUAGUUGGGCACUCUAGAGAGACCGCCGGUGAUAAACCGGAGGAAGGUGUGGAUGACGUCAAGUCAUCAUGCCCCUUACAUCCUGGGCUACACACGUACUACAAUGCUACGGACAAAGGGCAGCAAGUUCGCGAGGACAAGCAAAUCCCAUAAACCGUGGCUCAGUUCAGAUCGUAGGCUGCAACUCGACUCUAUGAAGUAGGAAUCUCUAGUAAUCG